AGCUGACCGGUCAGUGAUAAAUCCAGAUGAAAACAGAUGUGGCAGCAGCCAUUGUGGUACCCAAGUCUCACCUUUCACUUUGCAUCACCUUUAUAUCUAGAAGCAAGAGCCUAGAUGAAAUGCGCCUUAUCUCAUCUCCCUAAGAAAGAACUGUUCUUUUUAAAGACCCUUCUCUGAACUGGGUCAUCUAGGGUGAGUAGGCUUAGAAGGAGUGCUAUGAAUAUCUGCAAGGCAAAUAUCCUUAUAUUUGUCAACCAAGGUAAGAAGGUCACCUUUUUUCCCACUGCUCUGUGAUGAUUGUUGUCUGUAUGUUUUCUUGAUUUUCAAAGUAAAAUACAUAUAUUCUACAUAGUCUGAUAUUUCAAGUAGCAAAGCCAUUCU
RNAcentral lists this long non-coding RNA (381 nucleotides) under Anolis carolinensis (green anole). Its description in RNAcentral is "lncRNA (ENSACAG00000037492.1)". Lineage: Eukaryota; Metazoa; Chordata; Lepidosauria; Squamata; Anolidae. The record is from RNAcentral.